RNAcentral lists this ribosomal RNA (427 nucleotides) under uncultured bacterium. RNAcentral's name for it is "partial 16S ribosomal RNA". It matches the Rfam family "Bacterial small subunit ribosomal RNA", at positions 355 to 774 of the family's 1533-position model. The record is from RNAcentral.
UGGGGAAUAUUGGACAAUGGGCGAAAGCCUGAUGCAGCCAUGCCGCGUGUAUGAAGAAGGCCUUCGGGUUGUAAAGUACUUUCAGCGAGGAGGAAGGCGGUAAGGUUAAUAACCUUAUCGAUUGACGUUACUCGCAGAAGAAGCACCGGCUAACUCCGUGCCAGCAGCCGCGGUAAUACGGAGGGUGCAAGCGUUAAUCGGAAUUACUGGGCGUAAAGCGCACGCAGGCGGUCUGUCAAGUCGGAUGUGAAAUCCCCGGGCUCAACCUGGGAACUGCAUUCGAAACUGGCAGGCUAGAGUCUUGUAGAGGGGGGUAGAAUUCCAGGUGUAGCGGUGAAAUGCGUAGAGAUCUGGAGGAAUACCGGUGGCGAAGGCGGCCCCCUGGACAAAGACUGACGCUCAGGUGCGAAAGCGUGGGGAGCAAACA